GACGUGAAACCGGUGAGAUGGAAACGGAUAGAGUCGGCGUAUCCUGCAUGCAUUCAUUCAUAAUUAGGACUUCAAUCAGUUGUUGUAUUUACAGACUGGAUCAACUAUUGUUUUGCAAGACAAAUUAUGUUGCAUUUACAUGUGUUGUGCGUAGAGGUGUUUGGUAUGGUAGUAUGAACUCUACUUUGAGGCCAGCUUGCUGGUACCCAAGUUGAAGGACUGUUAUUCAUAUUAAAUGUAUGAGCUCGUAUGGUUUCGGACUCGUUUAGGCGCUGAGCUGGAUCUCGGUGGCGGUCGCAUGCGACACGUGCUGUGCAAUYGGUUCGUUCCUAAUCGACUUUUCAUGCGUGUUCUCUGCGUAAAAGCCGUUCAUCUAUCCGACCCGUCUUGAAACACGGACCAAGGAGUUUAUCGUGUGCGCGAGCCAUUGGGCGUUCAAAACCUAAAGGCGUAAUGAAAGUGAACGUUCUCGUAGGAGACUGAUGUGUGACCCUUUGCACUUCGGCGCAAGGGUGCAGCAUGGCCCCAUCCCGACUGCUUGCAGUGGGGUGGCGGAAGAGCGUAUGCGGUGAGACCCGAAAGAUGGUGAACUAUUCCUGAGCAGGAUGAAGCCAGAGGAAACUCUGGUGGAAGUCCGAAGCGGUUCUGACGUGCAAAUCGAU
This 662-nucleotide ribosomal RNA is filed under the name Meloidogyne ichinohei. RNAcentral describes it as "eukaryotic LSU rRNA". It matches the Rfam family "Eukaryotic large subunit ribosomal RNA", at positions 396 to 902 of the family's 3401-position model. The record is from RNAcentral. Lineage: Eukaryota; Metazoa; Nematoda; Chromadorea; Rhabditida; Meloidogynidae.